Molecule: non-coding RNA, 82 nt
Organism: Canis lupus familiaris (dog)
Lineage: Eukaryota; Metazoa; Chordata; Mammalia; Carnivora; Canidae
Source: Rfam
GCCUGGGUGGCUCAGUGGUUGAGCAUCUGCCUUGAGCUCAGGUCGUGAUCCGGGGUCCUGGGAUUGAGUCCCACAUCAGGCU